GGGAGGCGGAGUGACUUGCUUCGACUUUGUCAGCUUCCAGGGUUCAUUCCACUGCCCAAAUAUGUAGUGAGUUACUACCGGCUUUGCUUCCUCCUUCAGCAAACGGCUGGACCACACAACUUCAGGACAGAGGAUUUUAAGUGUUGGGGUCAUUUUCCCUGAAACGAUUUCAAAUGACGGCGAGUUGGUUCCCAGGCUAGGCCACCUAACCUCGAACGCAAUGACGAGUGCACUCUGACUGCUGAGCUGAGAGCCUUCCGUGGCUCUGGGACCCGGUGACUCACGUGGCUCCGCAUGUCCCGGUUCCCUUAAAAUCGGAGUCUUUCCUUUUCUUGGAUUCCGGCUUGCCACCAGCACCACUUGGCAGAACGGAAUUGCUUGCGGGCGUGUCAGUGGACUAGAAACGGAAGCAAGUGGUCUGAGAACUCGGGGGCCAAAAAUGUUACAUUAACAUUUUUUGCCUACCUAAAAUCUCAGCCACUUCCCACAAUUUGGCUGGAAAUUCAGCCCAUAUUGAGGCCUUUCUCACUCCUGCAGGUGUUACCAGCAACUCAGGGGUUUAUGGAGUAACGAAAUUGGGGAGGGCCUCACAUCCGGCUGCUGUUUUUUUCCCCCUAACGUGUAUGGUGCUUAUUCUGAGCCAGACACUUUUAAGAACUUCACAUUAUUAACCAAUUUAAAUCGUCCCCACCACCUGAUGAAAUAGGUACUGUUAUCCCCACUUUAUGGGUGGGGAAACUGAGGCCCAGGGAGGUCAAGUAACUGCUCAAAGCACAAAACUGUUGAGUAGUAGUGUUACUAGGGCAGUCCUGGAGAGAUCACUCAGAAGGCAAAACUGAGAGCUCAUUAUUUUCUUAAACAGUAGACAGCUGAAAACGUUCAUUGUUUCUUAAACCGUUUUAUUUGUUUGUUUUUUCCUAGUCUCUUUAUCUAUAGGUAACCUAGCUUAAAACAACUGCGGUUGGCCCUGGAGCUUCACUGCCCUUUGCCAAGUACCAGAGAAAGAUAAGACCUACUAGGAACCAGAGAAAACCAGAACCAGCCACCCCUUGUUACUUUUAGAUCAUUAAUACAUCAUUAUAUACUCAACUCCCGACCCAUAGAAGAGAAUCGCCGCCAUUUUCUGAUAGUGCAUUGUAUGAAGAGGCAUGUUUAUGAAAUGCACCUGUGCGUCUAGAGUUCCUCCCGGCAUAUGCUUGCAUACCUCCCCACUCUCAUCCUUUGUGAGGAUACAGUAAGGCACCAUCCUGGAAGCAGAAAACGUCUCUCAUCAGACACCAUUGUCAGUGCCUCCUUGAUCUUGGACUCCCCAGGCCCCGGAAAUUGCAGCAUCUCUCCUUCACUCUCCUCUGGUUGCUGUCCCCAAGUUGUCCCCAAGAGUGCUGCAGUUUUUCCAACGAAGAAACCUUUCGCUUUGUACAAGCAUUUGGGGAGGCGAAGGAGAGGAGGAGAUGGGAGGGAGGGGGAAGGAAGCAGAAUUUUUUUAAAAGCUAUGCAGCUCUAGAAACUGAAUCCUAUUGAUAUUUUUGAAGGGAGCGAGUUAAAUGUAUAAAUUGCUUUAAGGAGAAUUAACAGAUUUAUGAUAGUGAACUUUCCUACUUAAAAACAAUGUUUACCUUUCCAUUUUUUCAAGUCAUCUUGUAAAUCUCUCAGGAAUGUUUUCAACUUUCUUCAUAUGAAUUUUCUACAUUUUCCUAUUUAAUUUAUUUCUAAAUAUUUUAUAAUUAAAAUUAAGUUGUGGAAGUU
This is a long non-coding RNA of Pongo pygmaeus (Bornean orangutan), 1746 nucleotides long. RefSeq lists it as uncharacterized. The transcript has 3 exons. The record is from RefSeq and is a predicted model, not a curated record. NCBI's taxonomy places the organism in Eukaryota, Metazoa, Chordata, Mammalia, Primates, Hominidae.